UACAUGGGGUGCAACCGUUGCUCGGAAUCAUUGGGCGUAAAGCGCGCGUAGGCGGUUACUUAAGUCGAAUGUGAAAGCCCUCGGCUUAACCGAGGAAGUGCAUCCGAAACUGAGUAGCUAGAGUACGAAAGAGGGUCGCGGAAUUCCCGGUGUAGAGGUGAAAUUCGUAGAUAUCGGGAGGAACACCGGUGGCGAAGGCGGCGACCUGGGUCGAGACUGACGCUGAGGCGCGAAAGCGUGGGGAGCAAACAGG
This 253-nucleotide ribosomal RNA is filed under the name uncultured bacterium. Its description in RNAcentral is "partial 16S ribosomal RNA". It matches the Rfam family "Bacterial small subunit ribosomal RNA", at positions 524 to 776 of the family's 1533-position model. The record is from RNAcentral.